GGGUUGUGAGGUUAAGCGACUAAGCGUACACGGUGGAUGCCCUGGCAGUCAGAGGCGAUGAAGGACGUGCUAAUCUGCGAUAAGCGUCGGUGAGGUGAUAUGAACCGUUAUAACCGGCGAUUUCCGAAUGGGGAAACCCAGUGUGUUUCGACACACUAUCAUUAACUGAAUCCAUAGGUUAAUGAGGCGAACCGGGGGAACUGAAACAUCUAAGUACCCCGAGGAAAAGAAAUCAACCGAGAUUCCCCCAGUAGCGGCGAGCGAACGGGGAGGAGCCCAGAGCCUGAAUCAGUGUGUGUGUUAGUGGAAGCGUCUGGAAAGGCGCGCGAUACAGGGUGACAGCCCCGUACACAAAAAUGCACAUAUUGUGAGCUCGAUGAGUAGGGCGGGACACGUGGUAUCCUGUCUGAAUAUGGGGGGACCAUCCUCCAAGGCUAAAUACUCCUGACUGACCGAUAGUGAACCAGUACCGUGAGGGAAAGGCGAAAAGAACCCCGGCGAGGGGAGUGAAAAAGAACCUGAAACCGUGUACGUACAAGCAGUGGGAGCCUCUUUAUGGGGUGACUGCGUACCUUUUGUAUAAUGGGUCAGCGACUUAUAUUCUGUAGCAAGGUUAACCGAAUAGGGGAGCCGAAGGGAAACCGAGUCUUAACUGGGCGUUAAGUUGCAGGGUAUAGACCCGAAACCCGGUGAUCUAGCCAUGGGCAGGUUGAAGGUUGGGUAACACUAACUGGAGGACCGAACCGACUAAUGUUGAAAAAUUAGCGGAUGACUUGUGGCUGGGGGUGAAAGGCCAAUCAAACCGGGAGAUAGCUGGUUCUCCCCGAAAGCUAUUUAGGUAGCGCCUCGUGAAUUCAUCUCCGGGGGUAGAGCACUGUUUCGGCAAGGGGGUCAUCCCGACUUACCAACCCGAUGCAAACUGCGAAUACCGGAGAAUGUUAUCACGGGAGACACACGGCGGGUGCUAACGUCCGUCGUGAAGAGGGAAACAACCCAGACCGCCAGCUAAGGUCCCAAAGUCAUGGUUAAGUGGGAAACGAUGUGGGAAGGCCCAGACAGCCAGGAUGUUGGCUUAGAAGCAGCCAUCAUUUAAAGAAAGCGUAAUAGCUCACUGGUCGAGUCGGCCUGCGCGGAAGAUGUAACGGGGCUAAACCAUGCACCGAAGCUGCGGCAGCGACACUAUGUGUUGUUGGGUAGGGGAGCGUUCUGUAAGCCUGUGAAGGUGGCCUGUGAGGGUUGCUGGAGGUAUCAGAAGUGCGAAUGCUGACAUAAGUAACGAUAAAGCGGGUGAAAAGCCCGCUCGCCGGAAGACCAAGGGUUCCUGUCCAACGUUAAUCGGGGCAGGGUGAGUCGACCCCUAAGGCGAGGCCGAAAGGCGUAGUCGAUGGGAAACAGGUUAAUAUUCCUGUACUUGGUGUUACUGCGAAGGGGGGACGGAGAAGGCUAUGUUGGCCGGGCGACGGUUGUCCCGGUUUAAGCGUGUAGGCUGGUUUUCCAGGCAAAUCCGGAAAACCAAGGCUGAGGCGUGAUGACGAGGCACUACGGUGCUGAAGCGACAAAUGCCCUGCUUCCAGGAAAAGCCUCUAAGCAUCAGGUAACAUCAAAUCGUACCCCAAACCGACACAGGUGGUCAGGUAGAGAAUACCAAGGCGCUUGAGAGAACUCGGGUGAAGGAACUAGGCAAAAUGGUGCCGUAACUUCGGGAGAAGGCACGCUGAUAUGUAGGUGAAGCGACUUGCUCGUGGAGCUGAAAUCAGUCGAAGAUACCAGCUGGCUGCAACUGUUUAUUAAAAACACAGCACUGUGCAAACACGAAAGUGGACGUAUACGGUGUGACGCCUGCCCGGUGCCGGAAGGUUAAUUGAUGGGGUUAGCGGUAACGCGAAGCUCUUGAUCGAAGCCCCGGUAAACGGCGGCCGUAACUAUAACGGUCCUAAGGUAGCGAAAUUCCUUGUCGGGUAAGUUCCGACCUGCACGAAUGGCGUAAUGAUGGCCAGGCUGUCUCCACCCGAGACUCAGUGAAAUUGAACUCGCUGUGAAGAUGCAGUGUACCCGCGGCAAGACGGAAAGACCCCGUGAACCUUUACUAUAGCUUGACACUGAACAUUGAGCCUUGAUGUGUAGGAUAGGUGGGAGGCUUUGAAGUGUGGACGCCAGUCUGCAUGGAGCCGACCUUGAAAUACCACCCUUUAAUGUUUGAUGUUCUAACGUUGGCCCGUAAUCCGGGUUGCGGACAGUGUCUGGUGGGUAGUUUGACUGGGGCGGUCUCCUCCUAAAGAGUAACGGAGGAGCACGAAGGUUGGCUAAUCCUGGUCGGACAUCAGGAGGUUAGUGCAAUGGCAUAAGCCAGCUUGACUGCGAGCGUGACGGCGCGAGCAGGUGCGAAAGCAGGUCAUAGUGAUCCGGUGGUUCUGAAUGGAAGGGCCAUCGCUCAACGGAUAAAAGGUACUCCGGGGAUAACAGGCUGAUACCGCCCAAGAGUUCAUAUCGACGGCGGUGUUUGGCACCUCGAUGUCGGCUCAUCACAUCCUGGGGCUGAAGUAGGUCCCAAGGGUAUGGCUGUUCGCCAUUUAAAGUGGUACGCGAGCUGGGUUUAGAACGUCGUGAGACAGUUCGGUCCCUAUCUGCCGUGGGCGCUGGAGAACUGAGGGGGGCUGCUCCUAGUACGAGAGGACCGGAGUGGACGCAUCACUGGUGUUCGGGUUGUCAUGCCAAUGGCACUGCCCGGUAGCUAAAUGCGGAAGAGAUAAGUGCUGAAAGCAUCUAAGCACGAAACUUGCCCCGAGAUGAGUUCUCCCUGACUCCUUGAGAGUCCUGAAGGAACGUU
RNAcentral lists this ribosomal RNA (2827 nucleotides) under Escherichia coli. RNAcentral's name for it is "partial 23S ribosomal RNA". It matches the Rfam family "Bacterial large subunit ribosomal RNA". The record is from RNAcentral. Lineage: Bacteria; Pseudomonadati; Pseudomonadota; Gammaproteobacteria; Enterobacterales; Enterobacteriaceae.